RNAcentral lists this signal recognition particle RNA (95 nucleotides) under Gilliamella sp. GillExp13. RNAcentral's name for it is "signal recognition particle sRNA small type". It matches the Rfam family "Bacterial small signal recognition particle RNA". From Rfam's summary of the family: The signal recognition particle (SRP) is a universally conserved ribonucleoprotein involved in the co-translational targeting of proteins to membranes. Archaeal SRP consists of a 7S RNA and homologues of the eukaryotic SRP19 and SRP54 proteins. The record is from RNAcentral. Lineage: Bacteria; Pseudomonadati; Pseudomonadota; Gammaproteobacteria; Orbales; Orbaceae.
UAUGGGUUCUCUUGCAACAUUUUUUGCUCACUAGGUCAGGUUCGGAAGGAAGCAGCCAAAGUAAAAUAUAUGUGUGUGAGAUGUAGCUGAUAGGG